CCAAGCCCUCUCCCUUGACACAUGGGGAUUACAAUUCGAGAUGAGAUUUGGGUGGAGACGCAGCCAAACCAUAACACUCAGAAUGUUUAACAGGGAGGAACCCUAUCUUCUGGGAGCUGCAAAAUAUGCUUGCACCAAAAAGUAAGCCAAGGAAACAGGGAACGAAGUAAAAAACCAAGCACGUUUCCUGUGCCUGUGAGAUGCCUGGAUUCUUCAAGAUGGCGAGACCCAAGGAAAGAAAGGUCAAGUUGUCGGCAAGUUACCUCAGGACUUUUCUGGCUACUUUAUGGUAAUAAAAUCCUGAGGCUGGCCCGUUAGGGAACUACUAAAAUCGUCCAAAUAAGAAAUGAUAGAGUGUUGGAUUAAAAGGCUUCAGAGUUCUACAUCGUAUCCUACUUACAGCCCUAAAUACCUGUUAACUGCCACCCCCUGGACAGAUUAUUACAGUGACAACAGAAAUAUAAGUCACAUAAGGAGCUGCUGAAUGCACUCAAGACUCAACAAUCUCCAAAGAUACUGGAAGGCACGAAUGGAAAUCUGGACUCUGACAACUGUCCUUAGCAUGUU
RNAcentral lists this long non-coding RNA (567 nucleotides) under Pan troglodytes (chimpanzee). Its description in RNAcentral is "lincRNA". The record is from RNAcentral. Lineage: Eukaryota; Metazoa; Chordata; Mammalia; Primates; Hominidae.